CGGGCUGUGGUGUAGCCUGGACAACAUCCCGUCGUCGGAAGGCGGUGAGCGUAGGUUCGAAUCCUACCAGCCCGACCA
This 78-nucleotide transfer RNA is filed under the name Blastochloris sp. RNAcentral's name for it is "tRNA-Pro". It matches the Rfam family "tRNA". Rfam says of the family: Transfer RNA (tRNA) molecules are approximately 80 nucleotides in length. Their secondary structure includes four short double-helical elements and three loops (D, anti-codon, and T loops). Lineage: Bacteria; Pseudomonadati; Pseudomonadota; Alphaproteobacteria; Hyphomicrobiales; Blastochloridaceae. The record is from RNAcentral.